GACAGGAGCCUCAAGCGUUAGGCGGAAUCACUGGCUUAAAGCGUGUGUAGGCGGAUCGUUAAGUGUCUUGUGGAAAUCCCCACGGCUCACCCGUGGAACUGCUUGGUAUACUGGGGUCGCUUGAGCCAUCCAGGGGCAACUGGAACAAGCGGUGGAGCGGUGAAAUGCGUAGAGUAUCGCUUGGAACGCCAAAGGUAGAAAACAGGUUGCUGGGGGAUGUGCUGACACUGAGACGCGAAAGCCAGGGGAGCGAACGGG
This 258-nucleotide ribosomal RNA is filed under the name uncultured bacterium. RNAcentral describes it as "partial 16S ribosomal RNA". It matches the Rfam family "Bacterial small subunit ribosomal RNA", at positions 524 to 776 of the family's 1533-position model. The record is from RNAcentral.